GUGGCCGCCGCGGUAAUACGUAGGUGGCAAGCGUUGUCCGGAUUUACUGGGCGUAAAGGGAGCGUAGGUGGAUAUUUAAGUGGGAUGUGAAAUACUCGGGCUUAACCUGGGUGCUGCAUUCCAAACUGGAUAUCUAGAGUGCAGGAGAGGAAAGUAGAAUUCCUAGUGUAGCGGUGAAAAUGCGUAGAGAUUAGGAAGUAUACCAGUGGCGAAGGCGACUUUCUGGACUGUAAACUGACACUGAGGCUCGAAAAGCGUGGGGAGCAAAACAGGAUUAGAUACCCUGGUAGCCACGCCGUAAAACGAAUGAAUACUAAGGUGUAAGGGGUUGUCAUGAGCCUCUGUG
Molecule: ribosomal RNA, 346 nt
Filed under: uncultured Clostridium sp.
Lineage: Bacteria; Bacillati; Bacillota; Clostridia; Eubacteriales; Clostridiaceae
Description: bacterial SSU rRNA
Rfam family: Bacterial small subunit ribosomal RNA
Source: RNAcentral